AUACGUAGGGGGCGAGCGUUGUCCGGAAUGAUUGGGCGUAAAGGGCGCGUAGGCGGCCCGGUAAGUCUGGAGUGAAAGUCCUGUUUUUAAGAUGGGAAUUGCUUUGGAUACUGUCGGGCUUGAGUGCAGGAGAGGUAAGUGGAAUUCCCAGUGUAGCGGUGAAAUGCGUAGAGAUUGGGAGGAACACCAGUGGCGAAGGCGACUUACUGGACUGUAACUGACGCUGAGGCGCGAAAGUGUGGGGAGCAAACAGGAUUAGAUACCCUGGUAGUCCACACGGUAAACGAUGAAUGCUAGGUGUAGGGGGUAUCGACCCCUUCUGUGCCGCAGUCAACACAAUAAGCAUUCCGCCUGGGGAGUGCGGCCGCAAGGUUGAAACUCAAAGGAAUUGACGGGG
This 397-nucleotide ribosomal RNA is filed under the name uncultured bacterium. Its description in RNAcentral is "partial 16S ribosomal RNA". It matches the Rfam family "Bacterial small subunit ribosomal RNA", at positions 523 to 918 of the family's 1533-position model. The record is from RNAcentral.